This 262-nucleotide long non-coding RNA is filed under the name Nicotiana benthamiana. RNAcentral describes it as "long non-coding RNA (NBEN_LNC009874)". The record is from RNAcentral. Lineage: Eukaryota; Viridiplantae; Streptophyta; Magnoliopsida; Solanales; Solanaceae.
AAAAAAAGAGGAGACUAGAGUUAUGCGUGAAGGAAUUGAAAAGAAAGGUGUUGGAUGAUUUUGAACUUCCGAAAAACCUAUCACAGAUGGUCAUGAAUAGUGAGCCCAUACAAGUUGAUUCAACCCCUGUUCAUCAAGGAAGAACAAGGUUACCCGGAAAACAUGCACGAUCACCGUUCACUCCACUCUAUAGUACUGAAGGCAGCACCUCAGUUGGGCCAAAAUUUUUUUACCUAAAGCACCCAUUCACAAGUCUCAUUGG